RNAcentral lists this long non-coding RNA (202 nucleotides) under Olea europaea (common olive). RNAcentral describes it as "long non-coding RNA (OEUR_LNC002411)". Lineage: Eukaryota; Viridiplantae; Streptophyta; Magnoliopsida; Lamiales; Oleaceae. The record is from RNAcentral.
GCUUCACGAUCCUCUCUCUUUCCUUGGUUCAAAUCCGUUCCUUUAUCUUCAAAAUCUCAUUUUUGCAAUUUGCUUUCUUCUCUCCCAAAAGCGCUUCAAUGCCAGAUAAAUAAAAUUCUUAACCCUAUAGGUUAUAGAAAUUGAGUAGGAUAGGAAACUAAAAUUUGGGAUUGCCCGUAUUGAUCAUAUCCGUAUGAUCGCU